AGUUAUAAGUAGGUGUCAUUUUCGUGAUAGCUAUAUUAGUUUUAAACUUUGUCACUAUAUUUUAGUUUCUAACGGAUAUAUAAUAAAAAUGAAUGAUUAUGAAAUUUUUUUUUCUAGUACAUGACUGGCUUUGGAUCUUACUUUUCGUCAGAAGAUAAAAGAUGCCCUGGCUCCCUACCGUCAAAUCAAAACUCUCCACAGAACUGUCCUUAUGGUUUAUAUGCGGAACAAAUAUCAGGAACAGCUUUUACAGCUCCCCGUAAAGAAAAUUUAAGAUCGUGGUUGUACAGAAUACGUCCUAGUGUAUUGCACGAGCCGUUUAAGCCUUUUAGCGGUAACACGGGAUUAAAUAACAAUUGGAAUGAACAACAUCCAAAUCCUAAUCAAAUGCGUUGGAAACCUUUUGAUAUACCGUUGAAUGACGUAAAUUUUGUCGAAGGUUUACACACGAUAUGUGGUUCAGGGAAUGUACAUAGCCAUCAUGGCAUUGCAAUACAUAUCUACAGCUGCACUACUUCCAUGGAGAAAAUCGCUUUUUAUAAUAGCGAUGGUGAUUUUUUGAUUGUGCCUCAGAAGGGAAGUUUGGAAGUAACUACUGAAUAUGGUAAAUUAGUUCUAAGGCCAAAUGAAAUAUGCGUCAUACCACAAGGUAUUCGCUAUUCAGUUAAAGUAAUGGAACCAUCAAGGGGAUACAUUCUUGAGGUUUAUAACAAUCACUUCCAACUCCCGGAACUAGGACCAAUAGGAGCAAAUGGAUUGGCUAAUUCGCGCGAUUUUCAAACUCCUGUUGCGUUGUUUGAAGAUAACGAUGAAGAUUUCCAGGUUAUCUGCAAGUACCAAGGACAGCUUUUUUCUGCUAAACAAUCUCAUUCACCAUUUGAUGUUGUAGCAUGGCAUGGAAAUUAUGUCCCUUUCAAGUAUGAUUUAUCAAAAUUUAUGGUCAUAAAUUCUGUCAGCUAUGACCAUUGCGAUCCAAGCAUCUUUACGGUUCUCACUUGCCCAAGCUUUAGCCCAGGCACUGCUAUUGCGGACUUUGUAAUAUUUCCACCAAGAUGGGCUGUACAAGAGCAUACUUUCCGGCCGCCAUAUUAUCACAGAAACUGCAUGUCAGAAUUUAUGGGGUUAAUUAUUGGUAAAUACGAAGCAAAGGAUAACGGUUUUUUGCCUGGAGGAGCUACUCUUCAUUCCAUUAUGACACCACAUGGUCCAGAUUAUCAAUGCUUCGAGAAUGCAUCUCGUGCAGAGUUAGCACCUGAAAGGGUUGCUGAAAACACACAGUUUCAGAUUGACCUGAUGUUUCGCAGUUUUGGAUUCGCUGGUGACAGAGUUGAAUAAAGUAGUAAAUUUUGGUCAGCUUUCAGGACUAUUAAACAAUUGUACCUUCUGUAAAGCGCUUGUACUACUUAUAAACACUUUUUUUAGACAAAGUGGACUCACCGAAUGCCGCAGACAAUAUUUCGAGUGCCUUGGAGUACUUUAUUCCAUUUCUAACGCUUUUAUGUUCGAAUCAUCGCUGAACCUAAGAAUAACAAAGUGGGCAGAAAAAACUUGUCAAAAAUUGGAUGAGCAGUAUUUUGAAUGCUGGAAAGGAUUGAAGAAAAAUUUUAAUAAUUAUUCUUGAUAUUUUUACGUUGGAAGUGAACUUUGAAUGAUAGAAACCACUGAACCAGAAUUAUGCUUUAAAUUUAAAAUUAAGUUAAAAAGGCUAAAUUUCAAAAUAAAAAAAUAGAUCUUAACUGACUAAUAUACGAUGUUAUGGCUUAA
Bactrocera oleae (olive fruit fly) is the source of this 1764-nucleotide non-coding RNA. The record is from RefSeq and is a predicted model, not a curated record. NCBI's taxonomy places the organism in Eukaryota, Metazoa, Arthropoda, Insecta, Diptera, Tephritidae.